UAAGAGAGCAGGCUGAACCCCAUAAU
Molecule: unclassified non-coding RNA, 26 nt
Filed under: Mus musculus (house mouse)
Lineage: Eukaryota; Metazoa; Chordata; Mammalia; Rodentia; Muridae
Description: oocyte_clustered_small_RNA12141
Source: RNAcentral